UUGUAAUUGGAAUGAUGGUGACCCAAACCCUCACCAGAGUAGCAAUUGGAGGGCAAGUCUGGUGCCAGCAGCCGCGGUAAUUCCAGCUCCAAUAGCGUAUAUUAAACUUGUUGCAGUUAAAAAGCUCGUAGUUGUAUUUUUGCGUUGACGGUUUGACCAUUUGGUUGGUUAUUUCGUUUUCGCUUUUGGGAAUUUCCCUUUUUACUUUGAGAAAAUUAGAGUGUUUCAAGCAGACUUUUGUCUUGAAUACUUCAGCAUGGAAUAAUAGAGUAGGACUUUGGUUCUAUUUUGUUGGUUAUUGAACCUUAGUAAUGGUUAAUAGGAACGGUUGGGGGCAUUCGUAUUUAACUGUCAGAGGUGAAAUUCUUAGAUUUGUUAAAGACGAACUACUGCGAAAGCAUUUGCCAAGGACGUUUCCAUUAAUCAAGAACGAAAGUUAGGGGAUCGAAGACGAUCAGAUACCGUCGUAGUCCUAACCAUAAACUAUGCCGACUAGUGAUUGGAGGUCGUC
Molecule: ribosomal RNA, 511 nt
Filed under: Babesia canis
Lineage: Eukaryota; Apicomplexa; Aconoidasida; Piroplasmida; Babesiidae
Description: SSU rRNA
Rfam family: Eukaryotic small subunit ribosomal RNA
Source: RNAcentral